ACGCUGGCGUUAGGCCUAACACAUGCAAGUCGAACGCACCCUUCGGGGAUGAGUGGCAGACGGGAUGAGUAACGCGUGGAGAACCUACCUAGUGGUACGGAAUAGCCCAGGGGAAACUUGGGUAAUACCGUAUGAGCCCUCCGAGGGGAAAGAUUNAUCGCACAUUAGAUGGGACCCGCGUCUGAUUAGCUANUUGGUGGGGUAAUGGCCUACCAAGGNAACGAUCAGUAGCUGGUCUAGAGAGGAUGAUCAGCACACACUGGGAC
Molecule: ribosomal RNA, 266 nt
Filed under: uncultured bacterium
Lineage: Bacteria
Description: partial 16S ribosomal RNA
Rfam family: Bacterial small subunit ribosomal RNA
Source: RNAcentral